RNAcentral lists this unclassified non-coding RNA (377 nucleotides) under soil metagenome. Its description in RNAcentral is "partial contains 5.8S ribosomal RNA, internal transcribed spacer 2, and large subunit ribosomal RNA". The stretch from base 1 to 120 matches the Rfam family "5.8S ribosomal RNA", at positions 35 to 154 of the family's 154-position model. The record is from RNAcentral.
GAUGAAGAACGUAGCGAAAUGCGAUAAGUAAUGUGAAUUGCAGAAUUCAGUGAAUCAUCGAAUCUUUGAACGCAUCUUGCGCUCCUUGGUAUUCUGAGGAGCAUGCCUGUUUGAGUGUCAUUAAAUUCUCAACCGCACUGACUUCGAAUUGGUGUGGCUUGGAUUUGGGGGGAAAAUUGUUGUGGGCUUUUUUGUAUAGUCUGCUCCCCUGAAAUUGAUUAGCGGUACCUUUGUGGAACUGUCUACAGGUGUGAUAAUUAUCUACAUCCUAGACAUCUGCUGGAAUGCUGCUUUCUAAACCUUACUUGUAUUGACAAUCUUGACCUCAAAUCAGGUAGGACUACCCGCUGAACUUAAGCAUAUCAAUAAGCGGAGGA